This is a long non-coding RNA of Phyllostomus hastatus (greater spear-nosed bat), 550 nucleotides long. RefSeq lists it as uncharacterized. The record is from RefSeq and is a predicted model, not a curated record. Lineage: Eukaryota; Metazoa; Chordata; Mammalia; Chiroptera; Phyllostomidae. The transcript is spliced from 3 exons.
CCCUGCCUCUGCACCUCCCCGCAGCUAAUGAAAAGGCCGAGUUUCCCGAUGUAGGAAAGCCCCUACCCGCUGUCAUUUCCAGGGAUGAGUGAAAUCUGCAGAGGCCACGCUUGUCCUCAUCUACAGCCCUCCUUGUCUCCUCCACUCACAUUUUCCCAGAGCAGCUAGCUUUGUCCUGGGGCUCAGGGUGUCCCUGGGCCGAGGUGGAAUCCAGCCACAGCCACCUUCCAAAGCCAACAGUCACGGUGAACAUGCAGAAAAGCAAGAGCUGGGUGCUUCCUGAUGCAGAGUAAAGAAAGUCUCCGCAUGAGAAGACGUGGAUUGAUUUGGGACAAAAGGCACUUGUUGGCUCAGGAAGGCAGGUCCAGUUCCAUGGAAUCCCCAUCAGACACUGGAUGGAACUGAGCUAGCAGUGCAGGUUUUCAAUCUCAACUGUGUCUUCCCCCACCCCCAUCCUGCUGAUUCCGCCAGAGAGGAAAAAACAUCACUCUCACUGCUGCGUGAGCUUGAAUCAGCUUGGCAGAAAGGGGGUUCUGACUGACUCCAUCAG